GGUGGCUCAAUGGUAGAGCUCUUGCCUUGCAUGCAUGAGGCCCUGGGUUUGAUUCCUCAGCACCA
RNAcentral lists this transfer RNA (65 nucleotides) under Dipodomys ordii (Ord's kangaroo rat). It matches the Rfam family "tRNA". From Rfam's summary of the family: Transfer RNA (tRNA) molecules are approximately 80 nucleotides in length. Lineage: Eukaryota; Metazoa; Chordata; Mammalia; Rodentia; Heteromyidae. The record is from Rfam by way of RNAcentral.